GAUGAACGCUGGCGGCGUGCCUAAUACAUGCAAGUCGAGCGAACGGACGAGAAGCUUGCUUCUCUGAUGUUAGCGGCGGACGGGUGAGUAACACGUGGAUAACCUACCUAUAAGACUGGGAUAACUUCGGGAAACCGGAGCUAAUACCGGAUAAUAUUUUGAACCGCAUGGUUCAAAAGUGAAAGACGGUCUUGCUGUCACUUAUAGAUGGAUCCGCGCUGCAUUAGCUAGUUGGUAAGGUAACGGCUUACCAAGGCAACGAUGCAUAGCCGACCUGAGAGGGUGAACGGCCACUGUGGAACUGAGACACGGUCCAGACUCCGACGGAAGGCAGCAGUAGGGAAGCUUCCGCAAUGGGCGAAAGCCUGACGGAGCAACGCCGCGUGAGUGAUGAAGGUCUUCGGAUCGUAAAACUCUGUUAUUAGGGAAGAACAUAUGUGUAAGUAACUGUGCACAUCUUGACGGUACCUAAUCAGAAAGCCACGGCUAACUACGUG
RNAcentral lists this ribosomal RNA (497 nucleotides) under uncultured bacterium. RNAcentral describes it as "partial 16S ribosomal RNA". It matches the Rfam family "Bacterial small subunit ribosomal RNA", at positions 28 to 507 of the family's 1533-position model. The record is from RNAcentral.